GGUGAGUAACACGUGGGCAAUCUGCCCUUCACUCUGGGACAAGCCCUGGAAACGGGGUCUAAUACCGGAUAACACUCUGUCCCGCAUGGGACGGGGUUAAAAGCUCCGGCGGUGAAGGAUGAGCCCGCGGCCUAUCAGCUUGUUGGUGGGGUAAUGGCCUACCAAGGCGACGACGGGUAGCCGGCCUGAGAGGGCGACCGGCCACACUGGGACUGAGACACGGCCCAGACUCCUACGGGAGGCAGCAGUGGGGAAUAUUGCACAAUGGGCGAAAGCCUGAUGCAGCGACGCCGCGUGAGGGAUGACGGCCUUCGGGUUGUAAACCUCUUUCAGCAGGGAAGAAGCGAAAGUGACGGUACCUGCAGAAGAAGCGCCGGCUAACUACGUGCCAGCAGCCGCGGUAAUACGUAGGGCGCAAGCGUUGUCCGGAAUUAUUGGGCGUAAAGAGCUCGUAGGCGGCUUGUCACGUCGGAUGUGAAAGCCCGGGGCUUAACCCCGGGUCUGCAUUCGAUACGGGCUAGCUAG
RNAcentral lists this ribosomal RNA (525 nucleotides) under Streptomyces pratensis. RNAcentral's name for it is "bacterial SSU rRNA". It matches the Rfam family "Bacterial small subunit ribosomal RNA", at positions 105 to 644 of the family's 1533-position model. Lineage: Bacteria; Bacillati; Actinomycetota; Actinomycetes; Kitasatosporales; Streptomycetaceae. The record is from RNAcentral.